GCGAAGUUAGCCCAGACUGGUAAGGUACGAGCUUCCCAAGCUCGGGAUCGCGGGUUCAAAUCCCGCACUUCGCA
This 74-nucleotide transfer RNA is filed under the name Thermoproteota archaeon. Its description in RNAcentral is "tRNA-Gly". It matches the Rfam family "tRNA". Rfam says of the family: Transfer RNA (tRNA) molecules are approximately 80 nucleotides in length. Their secondary structure includes four short double-helical elements and three loops (D, anti-codon, and T loops). Lineage: Archaea; Thermoproteati; Thermoproteota. The record is from RNAcentral.